RNAcentral lists this ribosomal RNA (253 nucleotides) under uncultured bacterium. RNAcentral's name for it is "partial 16S ribosomal RNA". It matches the Rfam family "Bacterial small subunit ribosomal RNA", at positions 524 to 776 of the family's 1533-position model. The record is from RNAcentral.
UACAGAGGGGGCAAGCGUUGUUCGGAAUUACUGGGCGUAAAGGGCGCGUAGGCGGCCCGCUAAGUCGAACGUGAAAUCCCCGGGCGCAACCCGGGAACUGCGUCCGAUACUGGUGGGCUCGAAUCCGGGAGAGGGAUGCGGAAUUCCAGGUGUAGCGGUGAAAUGCGUAGAUAUCUGGAGGAAUACCGGUGGCGAAGGCGGCAUCCUGGACCGGCAUUGACGCUGAGGAGCGAAAGCCAGGGGAGCAAACGGG